ACCCUUUAAUGUUUGAUGUUCUAACGUGGACCCGUGAUCCGGGUUGCGGACAGUGUCUGGUGGGUAGUUUGACUGGGGCGGUCUCCUCCUAAAGAGUAACGGAGGAGCACGAAGGUUGGCUAAUCCUGGUCGGACAUCAGGAGGUUAGUGCAAUGGCAUAAGCCAGCUUGACUGCGAGCGUGACGGCGCGAGCAGGUGCGAAAGCAGGUCAUAGUGAUCCGGUGGUUCUGAAUGGAAGGGCCAUCGCUCAACGGAUAAAAGGUACUCCGGGGAUAACAGGCUGAUACCGCCCAAGAGUUCAUAUCGACGGCGGUGUUUGGCACCUCGAUGUCGGCUCAUCACAUCCUGGGGCUGAAGUAGGUCCCAAGGGUAUGGCUGUUCGCCAUUUAAAGUGGUACGCGAGCUGGGUUUAGAACGUCGUGAGACAGUUCGGUCCCUAUCUGCCGUGGGCGCUGGAGAACUGAGGGGGGCUGCUCCUAGUACGAGAGGACCGGAGUGGACGCAUCACUGGUGUUCGGGUUGUCAUGCCAAUGGCACUGCCCGGUAGCUAAAUGCGGAAGAGAUAAGUGCUGAAAGCAUCUAAGCACGAAACUUGCCCCGAGAUGAGUUCUCCCUGAGACUUAAAGUCUCCUGAAGGAACGUUGAAGACGACGACGUUGAUAGGCCGGGUGUGUAAGCGCAGCGAUGCGUUGAGCUAACCGGUACUAAUGAACCGUGAGGCUUAACCUUACA
This 732-nucleotide ribosomal RNA is filed under the name Salmonella enterica. RNAcentral describes it as "bacterial LSU rRNA". It matches the Rfam family "Bacterial large subunit ribosomal RNA", at positions 2202 to 2925 of the family's 2925-position model. Lineage: Bacteria; Pseudomonadati; Pseudomonadota; Gammaproteobacteria; Enterobacterales; Enterobacteriaceae. The record is from RNAcentral. RNAcentral also lists the same sequence under 5 other names.